Astyanax mexicanus (Mexican tetra) is the source of this 1242-nucleotide long non-coding RNA. RefSeq lists it as uncharacterized. Lineage: Eukaryota; Metazoa; Chordata; Actinopteri; Characiformes; Acestrorhamphidae. The record is from RefSeq and is a predicted model, not a curated record. The transcript has 4 exons.
GGUAUGGGGAAGUAUUUCUUUAAACAGAGAGAGAGAGAUAUUGAUUUUAUUGGCUAUAACAAAUAAACAUGUAAAUGUAAUAUCUUGAAUCAACAAAUGCACUUACAUCUUACACUCAAUUGAUGGGCAUAAUGAGUUGAAGAAUAUUAAUAUUUAUAGGCUUAAUUGCAUGUUGUGUGCAUUUUGGUCUUACAGUUUCCUUCAUCUCUAAACUGCAAACCUACAGCACACUUUUAUUGUGUCUAUUGCAGCCAUACAAUACUAUGCAAAGACCAGUUCAGACAUCAUGUAUCUCUGUGCAGCAGUGCAACCAAGACCACUAUAGCAGAAGUGUUUAAUCCACAGACUGUUGCUACUUCUGAUGCACGUCCAGCUCCCCCUCUGCCAGCUACUCCUGAUACACCUUCUCCCAGUUCUGGUCUUGCUUCCUCUGUGCAUGGUAUUAAUUAUAUUAAUUAUUAUAUUUUCUCUCAGGAAAGUUCAGUGUGUUGAACGUGUGACUGAUGAAGGAGAUAGAAUGGGCAACGUCUCCUUUGAACAGAUACAGUUCUGGAAGAGGGUGACAAAGCUUUUUUAAAGCUGUCACUAGUUUGUCGUCUCUUCCGGGACAUUGUUUGGACAACAAUCAUUCCGGGCCCGGGCACAUUUCGAGUGGCUUGACAUUGUAGUGCCAUGAAAACAUCACAGUGCUGCAUGUAAAGACGAGUUUCGCAGGAUGUAUGAACUGCAGUGCUGCCAGAACUGUCAAGAAUCUUAUAAAGACUGCAUACUGGGCUACGUUGGGCAUGGGAGACGAGGGGAGCUUGUGGCAUUUUACAGCGAAAACGAGCACCCUGGAUUCUGCAGCCAGCUUCAUGAGUGGCUGGGUGUGUGAGUGGCUGGGUGUGUGAGUGGCAGGGUGUGUGAGUGGCAGGGUGUGUGAGUGGCAGGGUGUGUGAGUGGCAGGGUGUGUGAGUGGCAGGGUGUGUGAGUGGCAGGGUGUGUGAGUGGCUGGGUGUGUGAGUGGCUGGGUGUGUGAGUGGCUGGGUGUUGCAUUUUUAAAUAAAGACUUCUGUAUUUGUUUGACCAAAGCAUGUAACCAAACAUUUUAAAGGUUAGUGUGCCAAUAAAUGCCAAUAAAGAUAUUGUAUUAGCUUGGACAAAGUGUUUGUAAAUGGAGUUAAUUUCCCUGGGAACUACUGUCAGCCAUACAAAAUUGGGAGAGGAGAAGCAGGAAAGGGAUAUUAUUAUUAUUAUUAUUAU